UGCCGCGGUGUGGUGAAGAAGGCCUUAUGGUUGUAAAGCACUUUAAGCGAGGAGGAGGCUACUUUAGUUAAUACCUAGAGAUAGUGGACGUUACUCGCAGAAUAAGCACCGGCUAACUCUGUGCCAGCAGCCGCGGUAAUACAGAGGGUGCAAGCGUUAAUCGGAUUUACUGGGCGUAAAGCGCGCGUAGGCGGCUAAUUAAGUCAAAUGUGAAAUCCCCGAGCUUAACUUGGGAAUUGCAUUCGAUACUGGUUAGCUAGAGUGUGGGAGAGGAUGGUAGAAUUCCAGGUGUAGCGGUGAAAUGCGUAGAGAUCUGGAGGAAUACCGAUGGCGAAGGCAGCCAUCUGGCCUAACACUGACGCUGAGGUGCGAAAGCAUGGGGAGCAAACAGGAUUAGAUACCCUGGUAGUCCAUGCCGUAAACGAUGUCUACUAGCCGUUGGGGCCUUUGAGGCUUUAGUGGCGCAGCUAACGCGAUAAGUAGACCGCCUGGGGAGUACGGUCGCAAGACUAAAACUCAAAUGAAUUGACGGGGGCCCGCACAAGCGGUGGAGCAUGUGGUUUAAUUCGAUGCAACGCGAAGAACCUUACCUGGCCUUGACAUAGUAAGAACUUUCCAGAGAUGGAUUGGUGCCUUCGGGAACUUACAUACAGGUGCUGCAUGGCUGUCGUCAGCUCGUGUCGUGAGAUGUUGGGUUAAGUCCCGCAACGAGCGCAACCCUUUUCCUUAUUUGCCAGCGAGUAAUGUCGGGAACUUUAAGGAUACUGCCAGUGACAAACUGGAGGAAGGCGGGGACGACGUCAAGUCAUCAUGGCCCUUACGGCCAGGGCUACACACGUGCUACAAUGGUCGGUACAAAGGGUUGCUACCUAGCGAUAGGAUGCUAAUCUCAAAAAGCCGAUCGUAGUCCGGAUUGGAGUCUGCAACUCGACUCCAUGAAGUCGGAAUCGCUAGUAAUCGCGGAUCAGAAUGCCGCGGUGAAUACGUUCCCGGGCCUUGUACACACCGCCCGUCACACCAUGGGAGUUUGUUGCACCAGAAGUAGCUAGCCUAACUGCAAAGAGGGCGGUUACCCAACCCGGGG
Molecule: ribosomal RNA, 1084 nt
Filed under: Acinetobacter sp.
Lineage: Bacteria; Pseudomonadati; Pseudomonadota; Gammaproteobacteria; Moraxellales; Moraxellaceae
Description: bacterial SSU rRNA
Rfam family: Bacterial small subunit ribosomal RNA
Source: RNAcentral